UGACCUCGAAUCAGGCGGGACUACCCGCUGAACUUAAGGAUAUCAAUAAGCGGAGGAAAAGAAACUAACAAGGAUUCCCCUAGUAACGGCGAGUGAAGCGGGAUGAGCUCAAAUUUAAAAUCUGGCAGUCUUCGAUUGUCCGAGUUGUAAUCUAGAGAAGCGUUUUCCGCUCUGGACUGUGUACAAGUUUCCUGGAACGGAACAUCAUAGAGGGUGAGAAUCCCGUCCUUGACACAGACUCCCAGUGCUCUGCGAUGCGCUCUCGACGAGUCGAGUUGUUUGGGAUUGCAGCUCAAAAUGGGAGGUAAAUUCCUUCUAAAGCUAAAUAUUGGCGAGAGACCGAUAGCGAACAAGUACCGUGAGGGAA
This 367-nucleotide ribosomal RNA is filed under the name Sistotrema brinkmannii. RNAcentral describes it as "eukaryotic LSU rRNA". It matches the Rfam family "Eukaryotic large subunit ribosomal RNA", at positions 1 to 361 of the family's 3401-position model. Lineage: Eukaryota; Fungi; Basidiomycota; Agaricomycetes; Cantharellales; Hydnaceae. The record is from RNAcentral.